CGGGACACGUGGUAUCCUGUCUGAAUAUGGGGGGACCAUCCUCCAAGGCUAAAUACUCCUGACUGACCGAUAGUGAACCAGUACCGUGAGGGAAAGGCGAAAAGAACCCCGGCGAGGGGAGUGAAAAAGAACCUGAAACCGUGUACGUACAAGCAGUGGGAGCACAGAGCAAUCUGUGUGACUGCGUACCUUUUGUAUAAUGGGUCAGCGACUUAUAUUCUGUAGCAAGGUUAACCGAAUAGGGGAGCCGAAGGGAAACCGAGUCUUAACUGGGCGUUAAGUUGCAGGGUAUAGACCCGAAACCCGGUGAUCUAGCCAUGGGCAGGUUGAAGGUUGGGUAACACUAACUGGAGGACCGAACCGACUAAUGUUGAAAAAUUAGCGGAUGACUUGUGGCUGGGGGUGAAAGGCCAAUCAA
Molecule: ribosomal RNA, 418 nt
Filed under: Escherichia coli
Lineage: Bacteria; Pseudomonadati; Pseudomonadota; Gammaproteobacteria; Enterobacterales; Enterobacteriaceae
Description: partial 23S ribosomal RNA
Rfam family: Bacterial large subunit ribosomal RNA
Source: RNAcentral